Molecule: ribosomal RNA, 309 nt
Filed under: uncultured bacterium
Lineage: Bacteria
Description: partial 16S ribosomal RNA
Rfam family: Bacterial small subunit ribosomal RNA
Source: RNAcentral
AGAGACAGCAGUCGCCGCGGUAAAACGUAGGGGGCAAGCGUUGUCCGGAAUUAUUGGGCGUAAAGCGCGCGCAGGCGGUCAUUUAAGUCUGGUGUUUAAUCCCGGGGCUCAACCCCGGAUCGCACUGGAAACUGGGUGACUUGAGUGCAGAAGAGGAGAGUGGAAUUCCACGUGUAGCGGUGAAAUGCGUAGAUAUGUGGAGGAACACCAGUGGCGAAGGCGACUCUCUGGGCUGUAACUGACGCUGAGGCGCGAAAGCGUGGGGAGCAAACAGGAUUAGAUACCCCCGUAGUCCCUGUCUCUUAUACA